Molecule: transfer RNA, 74 nt
Filed under: Cotesia glomerata
Lineage: Eukaryota; Metazoa; Arthropoda; Insecta; Hymenoptera; Braconidae
Description: tRNA-Thr
Source: RNAcentral
GUCUCUGAUAGCUCAACUGGUAGAGCAUUCGGCGCGUAACUAAAUGAUCUGAGUUUCGAAUCCCGGUCUAGACU